Monodelphis domestica (gray short-tailed opossum) is the source of this 129-nucleotide small nuclear RNA. Lineage: Eukaryota; Metazoa; Chordata; Mammalia; Didelphimorphia; Didelphidae. The record is from Ensembl.
GUGUUAUAUGAAAGGAGAGAAGGUUAGCACUCCCCCUUGAUAAGGAUGGAAGAGGUCCUAGUGGCCUUUACAACACACAUACAGUUAAGGCACUGCCACCUACUCUGUGGCAUCUAACCAUAUUUUUCC